AGAGGCGGGGCGAGCGCGCGCGGGGCGGAAGUCGGCCGCCUUCCUCCGUCCCGGCCCUUAGCCCAGCCAAGCCCAGCCAAGCCCCGCCGAUCGCGGGCACCGGAGCCAGCCCCGCAGCGGGAAGCUGGAGAAACAAACCCUCUUGGCUGUCUGCUGUCCAAGGAGUCGCCACUCCCUUCAUUACAGCCUUGCGCAGAGUGUAGCGGCAGGCCUGGGGAUGGCCUCGGGAGAAAAGCACAUCUCCCAGGAUCCUGAGAGCUUGAACCAGACCACUGUGGACACGGUGGCCACCGGUCACCACUACCCUUCCCAAGGGGAGACGAGGAGCAAGUAGGCUUGAGGGAAAAGCUGCACAGGACUCGUGUCUUGAAAUGUCUAAGACGCAUGUCAGAAAUGCAGGAGCCUAACCCAGAGGAAGUGGAGACUCCUUUACUGCACAUCUGUCUGCUCCAGGCCAGGCACUGUUCUAGGAGCCAGGAUACAGAGGUGGAGACAGAAACAAACAAACCGAUAACUGUAUACAAUACUCUAACGUCAG
This 538-nucleotide small RNA is filed under the name Pan troglodytes (chimpanzee). RNAcentral describes it as "processed transcript". The record is from RNAcentral. Lineage: Eukaryota; Metazoa; Chordata; Mammalia; Primates; Hominidae.